Molecule: transfer RNA, 35 nt
Filed under: Tetrapterum tetragonum
Lineage: Eukaryota; Viridiplantae; Streptophyta; Bryopsida; Pottiales; Pottiaceae
Description: partial transfer RNA-Phe
Source: RNAcentral
GGAAUAGCUCAGUUGGUAGAGCAGAGGACUGAAAA